CAUGGCUCAUUUUAUGCUUCAUGUUCAGUGAUGUAAGGCAGUCAACUUGAAGAACAGGUGAAAGUGGUAAUUCUUACUGUCCUGGACAUACUUGUAGAUGUCUGAAAUGUAUGAAUAAUUGCUGGACUUAAUUGGCCAUCUCUAAAACUGGCAGUCCUGAAAAGGACAAGUCUGAUCUGUGAGUCCACCCUCGUUCUUCUUCCAGUACUGCAUUAGGACAAGGAUGCACUCUCUGCACAGGUUCAAGUUCAGUAAUUUAGAAUCUGCCAAAACUUCCAGGCUCAAUUUUCUCGUGCUGACCCAGUCCCAUAAUACUUGGAUUACAGCAGCGGUGGUUCUGUGGAAGCAGAUGCCUAACUCCCACAACUGCAGGAGAGAGGAACCAUGGAGCAUUGAUUACUAAAUCACUGUUGAUGAUACAUGAUUCCACUACACUAACAACACACAUCAUUACAAAUAUUGCCUAGUGUCUAAUCUCACAAUAAACACACAAACUGCCUUCACCAGGGAACAUUCA
Long non-coding RNA from Cyanistes caeruleus (blue tit), 517 nucleotides. RefSeq lists it as uncharacterized. NCBI's taxonomy places the organism in Eukaryota, Metazoa, Chordata, Aves, Passeriformes, Paridae. The record is from RefSeq and is a predicted model, not a curated record.